CAUGAGUUAAGUGCUUCGAAACUAGUUUUCAGAAAUGCCCUUGGCAAAUCUCUCAGCAGUUGUUUAGUGGUUCAUUUUGUGAUGAGGAUAUUUGGCACCUGUUCAGUUCCUCUUCUCUGGACCUCAGCUGAACCUGAGGCAGAAAGAGUCCCAUGUUAACAUUCUGUUGCAUCAACCAAUUGGUCAAAUAGCUUUUACCAGGAACCAACAUCCAAUAGAAACAUCUACCCUUAUUUACAAGCUAGAUGUGGAGUCUGAGUUGCCCUUGCUCCUCUCUUGUUCCCACAGGGGCCAGCUGGGUGAGAUGUCAUACACCACGAUGUGCAUUAAGGAGUCCCUCCGCUUGGCACCUCCAGUCCUCUCCUUUUCCAGAGAACUCAGCAAGCCCAUUACCUUCUCAGAUGGACGCUCCUUGCCUGCAGGAAUUACUGUGGUUUGCAGUAUCUGGGGGCUCCACCACAACCCUGCCAUCUGGGAAAACCCACAGGUACGCCUGUCUCACACGUAAAUACUUCCAAGAACUAACACUGUGCAGUUUACUUUGUGUUAGUUAGGCAUGGAAGUGGCAAAUGACACAACACGACAAAAAUAGUCAUAACCAACAAUGAGACACUUUUCCACUUAAGGACCACCGCCUCUUCCUCUCUUCCUACCUCAUCUUGCUUUGGAGGGAAGCUUGGGGUAAGGCCCUGCCAGCUGCUCUAAAUUGCCCCGGGCGGUAUUUCAGUCUUUUCUUAAGGCGCUCUCCCAAGCACUUAGCUAGACGUCCGCAAGGGUGUGGACUGUCCACAGCCACUCGGGCCCCUCUAAGUCUCCUCUGCUGGAUGUCACCAUCAGAAUUCUGGCAGGAAGGCAAGGGCCCACUCAAGGGGGGGAGAGUGGACUUGAGUGUGUUUUGAGGAGAACUUCAGAGAGGAACUCUCGGGGUAGGGUUUCGGAGAAGCCAGACGGAGCAAAUAACUGCUGCAGUGCUUACUCCUCUGGGCUUGAGGGACAUGGGAGGGAGAGUUAGGAAACCCGGAGAGAGAUUGCAGCUGGGAAAGGCCCCUGGACAGGAGUGGUGGCUGCCAGCAGAGUGUGCAGUUAACCUUUGGCCGCCUGGCUGGGAGGCGCCCGGGGAUUAAACGCCCUGGACGUGCUCUCCUCCCACUCUCCAGAUCUCCUCUCCAUGCCAAACCCGCGGGGAACCACAGGGGCCUGUCGGGAGCCCGGCGCAGGAUGGGAAAGGGAGGAGAGGGGAUCUGGAGAGGCCAGAAGGAGAUGGGGAGCACUCC
RNAcentral lists this long non-coding RNA (1274 nucleotides) under Sus scrofa (pig). RNAcentral's name for it is "lncRNA (ENSSSCG00065074261.1)". Lineage: Eukaryota; Metazoa; Chordata; Mammalia; Artiodactyla; Suidae. The record is from RNAcentral.